CAAAAAAAAAAUUAGUAAGAUGAGCUCUCGGCCCCACGCAAACCCUCCCCUUUCUGGCUUCCAACAAGACGAGGAAUUUUUGAGGGAGGGUCGAAGCAGCUCGAACAGGUCCAAAUGUCCCAUCUCCGGUAGCCAUCAGAGUAAUGACCGGUGAUGCUAUGAUUGGACGCAGAGCAAUACUAUUCCCUUUCCACAUCAUAAGGAACUGUGGUUCCUAUUUCCUUUGGAUCCAUGGUGUUGAUUUUUGGGAUUACAUAUAUGUCACGAUUUCUUUCGUCAAUCGUUUCUAAUGCUGAUGUACAUUUCUGGAAGUCAAUAAGGAUCAAGUUGAAUGCUGAACUGCCGGCUGAACAAUUUACCUUAUGUUAAUUUCUUUUUUUCUUUUUUUUUUUAUUUUUGUCUGAUAAAAGUUUAGAUGGGGCGGAUGUGGUAACCCACCAGGGCUAGGGCAAACCUUCCAACCUCUUUGAGAAUUUUUGGGAGAGAUUACAGAUCACCCACCAAUGAUUGCCUCACAUCAAUCAACGGGAUUCGAGCCUUUGUCCUUGUGAGGUAAGGGCUGAGUCUUUCAUGGGGAAUCGAACCUUCGCCCAAGUGCUUGCAAUUGCGAAUUUCCUCAGUUGUGACUCUCAAUGUAGAAGGUUGGCUUCCUCCAUGUUUGAGGAGGAAUUGACAAAGUUGACAUCUUUUUUGGAGCCAGAAGGUGCAUAAUCUGAGCUAUAUAAGAUGUAUUUGCCAUUUCUCUAUAAGUAGUCAUGAUGCUUCAGGUCACUUGUUAAUUUUCUUUCUAGUGCUGAUGUACAUUUUUGGAAGCCAACAGGGAUCAAGUUAAAUUCUGAAUUGCCGGCUGAAGAAUUUACCUUGAUGUCAAUUUCUAGUUGACUGAGGUUUCACAGUUCA
Long non-coding RNA from Prosopis cineraria, 900 nucleotides. RefSeq lists it as uncharacterized. The record is from RefSeq and is a predicted model, not a curated record. The transcript is spliced from 2 exons. Lineage: Eukaryota; Viridiplantae; Streptophyta; Magnoliopsida; Fabales; Fabaceae.